This 255-nucleotide ribosomal RNA is filed under the name Klebsiella pneumoniae. RNAcentral's name for it is "partial 16S ribosomal RNA". It matches the Rfam family "Bacterial small subunit ribosomal RNA", at positions 327 to 574 of the family's 1533-position model. Lineage: Bacteria; Pseudomonadati; Pseudomonadota; Gammaproteobacteria; Enterobacterales; Enterobacteriaceae. The record is from RNAcentral.
CGGUCCAGACUCCUACGGGAGGCAGCAGUGGGGAAUAUUGCACAAUGGGCGCAAGCCUGAUGCAGCCAUGCCGCGUGUGUGAAGAAGGCCUUCGGGUUGUAAAGCACUUUCAGCGGGGAGGAAGGCGUUAAGGUUAAUAACCUUGUCGAUUGACGUUACCCGCAGAAGAAGCACCGGCUAACUCCGUGCCAGCAGCCGCGGUAAUACGGAGGGUGCAAGCGUUAAUCGGAAUUACUGGGCGUAAAGCGCACGCAG